Molecule: ribosomal RNA, 453 nt
Filed under: uncultured Acinetobacter sp.
Lineage: Bacteria; Pseudomonadati; Pseudomonadota; Gammaproteobacteria; Moraxellales; Moraxellaceae
Description: bacterial SSU rRNA
Rfam family: Bacterial small subunit ribosomal RNA
Source: RNAcentral
CAAGCGGUGAGCAUGUGGUUAAUUCGAUGCAACGCGAAGAACCUUACCUGGUCUUGACAUAGUAAGAACUUUCCAGAGAUGGAUUGGUGCCUUCGGGAACUUACAUACAGGUGCUGCAUGGCUGUCGUCAGCUCGUGUCGUGAGAUGUUGGGUUAAGUCCCGCAACGAGCGCAACCCUUUCCUUAUUGCCAGCGGGUUAAGCCGGGAACUUUAAGGAUACUGCCAGUGACAAACUGGAGGAAGGCGGGGACGACGUCAAGUCAUCAUGGCCCUUACGACCAGGGCUACACACGUGCUACAAUGGUCGGUACAAAGGGUUGCUAGUCCGUGAGGAGGAGCUAAUCCCAAAAAGCCGUUCUCAGUUCGGAUCGGAGUCUGCAACUCGACUCCGUGAAGUUGGAAUCGCUAGUAAUCGUGGAUCAGCAUGCCACGGUGAAUACGUUCCCGGGCCUU